This 460-nucleotide ribosomal RNA is filed under the name uncultured bacterium. RNAcentral describes it as "partial 16S ribosomal RNA". It matches the Rfam family "Bacterial small subunit ribosomal RNA", at positions 338 to 795 of the family's 1533-position model. The record is from RNAcentral.
CCUACGGGGGGCAGCAGUGAGGAAUAUUGGUCAAUGGGCGCUAGCCUGAACCAGCCAAGUAGCGUGAAGGAUGACUGCACUAUGGGUUGUAAACUUCUUUUAUAUGGGAAUAAAGUGCAGUAUGUAUACUGCUUUGCAUGUACCUUAUGAAUAAGGAUCGGCUAACUCCGUGCCAGCAGCCGCGGUAAUACGGAGGAUCCGAGAGUUAUCCGGAUUUAUUGGGUGUAAAGGGAGCGUAGGCGGGUGUUGAAGUCAGUUGUGAAAGUUUGGGGCUCAACCGUGAAACUGCUGUGGAUACUGGGAGGCUUGAGUACUGGAGGGGCAGGCGGAAUUCGUGGUGUAGCGGUGAAAUGCGUAGAUAUUAGGAAGAACUCCGGUGGCGAAGGCAGCCUGCUGGACAGUAACUGACGCUGAGGCUCGAAAGCGUGGGUAGCAAACAGGAUUAGAUACCCGUGUAGUC